Molecule: unclassified non-coding RNA, 462 nt
Filed under: plant metagenome
Description: partial contains 5.8S ribosomal RNA, internal transcribed spacer 2, and large subunit ribosomal RNA
Rfam family: Eukaryotic large subunit ribosomal RNA (bases 376-462)
Source: RNAcentral
GAACUGCGAUAAGUCAUGUGAAUUGCAGAAUUCCGUGAAUCAUCGAACUCUUGAACGCAAAUUGCACUUAGGUGUUGAACUUAAGUGUGUCUGCUCGAGUGUCGGCAAUAAAUACUCAUUCUUUGAAUGAUAUUGAAGGUUCAUAUACACUGUGAUCCUUUGAAAUGAAUGUAGGUAUGGUUCAAUCAAUACAGUCUUGCGUUGAGUAAGAUGGCUUGUAUUUAUGAAUCACGUAUAACUUAUGCUUAAUUCUUAAGCUUAAUGUUUAUAUGUUGAUUGAUAUGAUAUUAGUCCAUGUCUCAAGCGACUUGUAGAGAAUCACUCCUAGCUUGUUUUAUGGCUUAAUCGCCUUUAUCGAACAAACUUUCAAAUACUCGACCUCGAAUUAGACAAGAUCACCCGGUGGACUUAAGCAUAUUAUUAACCGGAGGAAAAGAAACUAACAAGGAUGCCCUUAGUAAC